This 450-nucleotide ribosomal RNA is filed under the name uncultured Gammaproteobacteria bacterium. Its description in RNAcentral is "bacterial SSU rRNA". It matches the Rfam family "Bacterial small subunit ribosomal RNA", at positions 946 to 1394 of the family's 1533-position model. The record is from RNAcentral. Lineage: Bacteria; Pseudomonadati; Pseudomonadota; Gammaproteobacteria.
UUAAUUCGAUGCAACGCGAAGAACCUUACCUACCCUUGACAUCCUGCGAAUCCCGAUGAGAGUUGGGAGUGCCGAAAGGAACGCAGAGACAGGUGCUGCAUGGCUGUCGUCAGCUCGUGUUGUGAGAUGUUGGGUUAAGUCCCGUAACGAGCGCAACCCUUGUCCUUAGUUGCCAGCAAGUAAAGUUGGGGACUCUAAGGAGACCGCCGGUGAUGAACCGGAGGAAGGCGGGGACGACGUCAAGUCAUCAUGGCCUUUAUGGGUAGGGCUACACACGUGCUACAAUGGGGCGUACAGAGGGUAGCCAACCCGCGAGGGGGAGCCAAUCUCUUAAAGCGUCUCGUAGUCCGGAUUGGAGUCUGCAACCCGACUCCAUGAAGUUGGAAUCGCUAGUAAUCGCGAAUCAGCAACGUCGCGGUGAAUACGUUCCCGGGCCUUGUACACACCGCC